RNAcentral lists this ribosomal RNA (654 nucleotides) under Triticum aestivum (bread wheat). RNAcentral's name for it is "partial small subunit ribosomal RNA". The record is from RNAcentral. Lineage: Eukaryota; Viridiplantae; Streptophyta; Magnoliopsida; Poales; Poaceae.
CGUGGCGGCAGCCCGGUGAGACAGGCCUCGCUGCAUGGGGCUAGGCGCCGUUCAGCUGAGAGCCUCACUCCACAGGCCUCUCCUUCGCUCUCACCAACCACGGUGCUGCCGCCCUCGCCCCGCUGCAAGUGCGGUGAACUUGAGAGCGCUGCUCUCGCUUCCAGAAUCGCUGCUGUCAGCCCGCAGGUGGCCCUGCUCUGUUCCCCGGCGUGCAUGGCCACUCCAUCCCCAACUGUCUCACGUCCUCCUGGGUUUGAAGCUUCGCCAACACCGCCCCUUCUCUUCAGCACGACGCCCAGGCGUACACCCCCCCUGAUGCCUGGGGCUGCUAUGGUGGAGAGCUCAAUUCCAAUGGGAUUGGAGGCUCUGUUUCAGCCAAGGCAACGACCUUUGCUUCCCUCGCCGGUUUCCUCCCCAGUCAAGGCCCCAAUGCGCAGGCGCAAGACCCUGGCUGGCAUGCACAUCACCACCAAUGGUGGGUUCUCGCUGAGACGCAACAGUGCGCGGAUCAUGGCUCGCAGCGCUGGCGUUGCCACUGCCAUGGCCAAGGAAGCGCAGGGGCUGCUCUGCUGCUUGAUUGGCAUUGUGCAAGACGGGGAAGAUAUCACAGACAAGGCAUUAAAGGUGUUCGAAGACCAAUUCAAGGAGCAACUC